This 510-nucleotide ribosomal RNA is filed under the name uncultured bacterium. RNAcentral describes it as "partial 16S ribosomal RNA". It matches the Rfam family "Bacterial small subunit ribosomal RNA", at positions 28 to 507 of the family's 1533-position model. The record is from RNAcentral.
GACGAACGCUGGCGGCGUGCUUAACACAUGCAAGUCGAACGAAGAGCGAUGGCUUCUUGCUUCUAUCAAUCUUAGUGGCGAACGGGUGAGUAACGCGUAAUCAACCUGCCCUUCAGAGGGGGACAACAGUUGGAAACGACUGCUAAUACCGCAUACGAUCUAAUCUCGGCAUCGAGGAUAGAUGAAAGGUGGCCUCUACAUGUAAGCUAUCACUGUAGGAGGGGAUUGCGUCUGAUUAGCUAGUUGGAGGGGUAACGGCCCACCAAGGCGAUGAUCAGUAGCCGGUCCGAGAGGAUGAACGGCCACAUUGGGACUGAGACACGGCCCAGACUCCUACGGGAGGCAGCAGUGGGGAAUCUUCCGCAAUGGACGAAAGGCUGACGGAGGAACGCCGCGUGAGUUAUGACGGGCUUCGGGUUGUAAAGCUCUGUUAAUCGGGGCGAAAGGCCUUCUUGCGAAUAGUGAGAAGGAUUGACGGUACCGGAAUAGAAAGCCACGGCUAACUACGUG